UGAGAGUUCAACUGUGUGACUUGCUUUAGCCAAUAGAAUAGAGCAUACUAGUUCCAAACUUGGGUCUUGAGAGGGUUUGGGGGUUUCCAUUUGCUCUCUUGUGCUGCCAUGACAUGAUGUGAAUUUGCGUAGGCUCUGCUGCUGGUCUUAUGAAGAGGAUGUAAGACAAGAGGAGCAGAGCAUCCCCUGCCACACCAUUUCAGAAUAACUCCACAGCAUCAUCUAGGCAAGUGCUUGAUCAAACAACUCGGAACCAUAACUUUGUUGACACAUAAAAUUAAUCAUCACGCUGGGUUUAAUGGAAAGAACAAAGGAAAUGGAGUUAGAAGACUUGUUUUUUGUCAAAUGCUAGAAGAUUUUUGAGCAUCAAUUCCUUCAUUCUAAAAGCCAGAGAAAGUUCGUUUGGAAUAGUUUGACCCUUUUCAGGUUAUCGUAAUGAGAAUACAGUGGUGCUCUCUGUGAGGCUUUCUGCUUCCUCCAUCAAGCGUCCGUGCCGAGACACGUCAAUAAUGUGCCCUUUGUGAUUUAGAUGGUCUAAAAUUGGAGAGAGGAGAAGAUAUGACAGACAAACUCUUAGGUGAAUCAUAUCACCAAGAAAGCACAAUUUGGAAUAUAACAACUCUGUUACAUUAUCUAUUGCCAGUCCAAAAAUGACUGCAUUACCAGUUCUGCAAAAUGUCUCUUCAUUCUUGUCUUUUAUUUCACUCCUGAGAGAAUGUAUUUAUUGUCUAUGAAUCUCCUCUGGGGAAUGCUGGAAUUAAAAAACACAGACCUUUAAAAUA
Long non-coding RNA from Choloepus didactylus (southern two-toed sloth), 782 nucleotides. RefSeq lists it as uncharacterized. Lineage: Eukaryota; Metazoa; Chordata; Mammalia; Pilosa; Megalonychidae. The record is from RefSeq and is a predicted model, not a curated record. The transcript has 3 exons.